Molecule: ribosomal RNA, 253 nt
Filed under: uncultured bacterium
Lineage: Bacteria
Description: partial 16S ribosomal RNA
Rfam family: Bacterial small subunit ribosomal RNA
Source: RNAcentral
UACGGAGGGUGCAAGCGUUAUCCGGAUUUACUGGGUUUAAAGGGUUCGUAGGUGGCUUGCUAAGUCAGACGUGAAAUCCCUCAGCUUAACUGGGGAACUGCGUCUGAUACUGGCGAGCUUGAGUGCAGGAGAGGAACGCGGAAUUCCAGGUGUAGCGGUGAAAUGCGUAGAUAUCUGGAGGAACACCGGUGGCGAAGGCGGCGUUCUGGACUGCAACUGACACUGAUGAACGAAAGCCAGGGGAGCAAACGGG